ACAGUUUUCUGUUCUUUUUACUUGAAUGAUUUUCUUCAUGUUGUAUACUUUUUAUGAGUGGUUUUAAUGACUGCGUAAUCUUCCAUUUGGUGCAUAUUCAGUGGUUAAUGAGGACUUGACCUAUACUUCAGAAAUUUGGAAAGAGGAGAAGUGGGACAUGCCUAAAUUAAUGGGACUUGGCCACUAAUGGGGUUUGAAGGACAAAGGAGAGGGAAGAGUCAGAUAGGAUUAGCACAGCACAUGACUGCCUAAGAGAUGCUCACAAAAAUAAACGGCUGAAUGAGUGAAUGAACCCAGCGGUUUUAAAUCUGGAGGCUUAAGACAGUUUUUGGUAGCUGAGGGAGAACAGAAAUAGCUAUGUUUACUGUUAAUAUAGAAUAUGUGUUAUUCUUUGCAUUCACCUUUCCCACCUAUAUUGCAGACGUCACUGAUAGCUUGUAAUACUUUUCUACCUGAGGUUUAAGUAUGUAAAUAUGAAGAAUUAAUAACAAGUUAAACUCUUGUUUUGAAAAUCUAAUUCGCCAAAUAUAAUUGAGGAAAUACUAUAAGAACUAAAUCUACUGAUCCUCUCUUAGGAGCAAUUUGACAUAAUUUUUGUAAGUUUAAAGACAGACUUUAAAGCAACUUUCCAGUCACAACUUCAAAAUAAAGUACAAGUUAAUUGCA
This 666-nucleotide small RNA is filed under the name Pan troglodytes (chimpanzee). RNAcentral describes it as "sense intronic". Lineage: Eukaryota; Metazoa; Chordata; Mammalia; Primates; Hominidae. The record is from RNAcentral.